RNAcentral lists this ribosomal RNA (3246 nucleotides) under Candidatus Saccharimonadota bacterium. RNAcentral's name for it is "Candidatus Saccharibacteria bacterium 23S ribosomal RNA". It matches the Rfam family "Bacterial large subunit ribosomal RNA". Lineage: Bacteria; Candidatus Saccharimonadota. The record is from RNAcentral.
UAAAAAGGUACUCAAGGGCACACAAUGGAUGCCUAGACGUAUAUUACCGAUGAAGGACGUGGAAGACUGCGAAAAGUCUCGGAGAGCUGUCAACAAGCUUUGAUCCGGGAAUAUCCGAAUGGGGAAACCCAAUACGAUUCAUCUCGUAUUACCUGUUCCUGAAUAUAUAGGGAAUUUGGAGGGAACCGACCGAACUGAAACAUCUUAGUAGGUCGAGGAAGAGAAAAUAAAUAAUGAUUCCGGGAGUAGUGGCGAGCGAAACUGGAAGAGCCCAAACCUUACAAGUUUUCAUCUGUUCGCAGAUGAAUAAGUUUAUAGGCGAAUACUUAUAAGGGGUUGUGAUAUAACACGAGACCAAGUCAGAGAACUGAAAUUUAUUUCAGGUAUCUGAUUUGCGAUAACAGGCUAUUAACUGUUAGUAAGGUAAGAAAUUUGCGUGGUUAGCAGAAUAGUUUGAAUGACUAUCCAAAGAACGUGAAAGACGUGUACGCGAAAACGACGCUGACCUUAUACGUGUUUUAUCGAGUAGGGCGGGGCACGAGAAACCCUGUCUGAAUCCGGCUGGACCACCAGCCAAGGCUAAAUAUAAUAUACGAUCGAUAGUGAACUAGUACAGCGAUGGAAAGGUGAAAAGAACCCCUGGAGGGGAGUGAAAUAGAUCCUGAAAUUGUGUGCCUACAAGGAGUCGGAGCUGGAAUUUAUUCUGGUGACGGCGUGCUUUUUGUAGAACGAUCCAGCGAGUUAAUUUCCAGUGCAAGGUUAAGUCAAGUGACGGAGCCACAGUGAAAGCGAGCCUGAAUAGGGCGAAUAAGUACUGGGAAUUAGACCCGAAACCGGGUGACCUAACCAUGGGCAGGCUGAAGCUACUGUAACAGGUAGUGAAGGGCCGAACCGUCGUACGCAGCAAAGUGCUCGGAUGACCUGUGGUUAGAGGUGAAAUGCCAAUCGAACUCGGAGAUAGCUGGUUCUCCUCGAAAUAGCUUUAGGGCUAGCGUCAAUUAAUUAGCCAACGGGGGUAGAGCUCUGUAAAGGACUGGGGGGAGCAAUCCUACCCACCCUUAACAAACUACGAAUACCGUUGGUGGUACAUUGGCAGUUAGAACGUCGGGGCUAAGCUCGGCGCUCGAAAGGGAAACAGCCCAGACCAUCGUCUAAGGUCCCUAAAUGUAUACUCAGUGGGAAACAAGGUGAGAUUUCUUAAACAGCUAGGAUGUUGGCUUAGAAGCAGCCAUUCAUUUAAAGAGUGCGUAACAGCUCACUAGUCAAGAGAUCUUGCGUGGAAAAUGUAACGGGGCUAAAGUAUACUACCGAAGACAUGGAUGUACGAUUUAUCGUACGUGGUAGAGGAGCGUUCCUAUCUGCAGUGAAGCUCAACUGGAAAGUUGGGUGGAGCGUUAGGAAGUGAGAAUGCUGGAAUGAGUAACCAUAAGACAUGUGAGAAUCAUGUCGGCCGUAAGAGCAAGGUUUCCUGAGCCAUGGUAAUCAUCUCAGGGUUAGUCGGGCCUAAGCCGAGGCGCAUAGCGUAGGCGAUGGACAUCAGGUUAAUAUUCCUGAACCGGUUAUAAAUUGUACACUGUUCACGGUGAAGUAGUCGAAGCGGAUUCAUGGUAUGUAUCCGUCCAACCUAGCGGGAACGCAAAGGGAGUGAAAGUUAGUCUUCGGAUUGACGAUUUUGAUCAAAGCACUGGCUAGAAAAGCAGAUGUACGCGUGUUUAUAGCCGCCCGUACCGCAAACCAACACAGGUGCUCGAGUCGAGUAGACUCAGGCUUACGAGAGAACCUUCGCUAAGGAACUCGGCAAUACAGCGACCGUAACUUCGGGAUAAGGUCUGCCCCCACAUCUAACGAUGUGAGCCGUGUUCAACUAACUUGGUGAAAGGUGGUUAAAAAACGCGAUAGUAGCAUCUAAAAGCAGCUACUGUCGUUAGUGAGUACGCUCGUUUCAGACCCAUAAUACGGUUUGAAACAAUAUGAGCGACAAAUCCUUUUUUAUGAACCACAAUUUUUUACUGAGAUAGACAAAUCAUGAUUGAUUUAUGUCAUUAUAGCGAAAGUUAUAAUGAUUCUUGAGCACGACCUCUCGCAUCUUUGGAUGUGGGGGCCGCAGCAAAAGAGCCCACGGAACUGUUUACCAAAAACACAGGUCUCUGCUAAUUCGAAAGAAGAUGUAUAGGGGCUGACUCCUGCCCGGUGCCGGAAGGUUAAGGGGAGCGCUUUACGGUGCGAACUGAAGCCCCGGUGAACGGCGGCGGUAACUAUAACCGUCCUAAGGUAGCGAAAUUCCUUGUCAGGUAAGUUCUGACCCGCACGAAUGGAGUAAUCAUGUGGGCACUGUCUCAGCGAAGGACUCGGUGAAAGUGCAUUGGCGGUAAAGAUGCCGUCUGUCCGUACCAGGACGAGAAGACCCCAUGGAGCUUUACUACAGCUUUACAUUGAUCCGGGUUACAACAUGUGUAGCAUAGGUGGGAGCCUUUGAAGCAGAUACGCUAGUAUUUGUGGAGGCACAGGUGAAAUACCACCCUUGUUGUGAUCUUGAUCUCACCGUUACCAUUAUCUGGUAACGGGACCGUGUAUGGUGGGUAGUUUAACUGGGGCUGUUGCCUCCUAAAGAGUAGCGGAGGCGUUCAAAGGUUGGCUAACUUCGGAUGGAAAUCGAAGUGAUAGUGUAUGCGCAUAAGCCAGCUUGACUGUGAGAAGUACAUUUCAAGCAGAGACGAAAGUCGGAGCAAGUGAACCGCUUUACGUACUUUAUGUACAUGAAUGUGGGAUCGAAAGCGAAAACGGAUAAAAGUUACCCUGGGGAUAACAGGCUUAUAGCGCCCAAUAGUUCACAUAGACGGCGCUGUUUGGCACCUCGAUGUCGGCUCAUCACAUCCUGGAGGGGGAGCACCUUCCAAGGGUUCGGCUGUUCGCCGAUUAAAGUGGUACGCGAGCUGGGUUCAGAACGUCGUGAGACAGUUCGGUUUAUAUCCGGUACGGACGUUAGGAAAUUUGAGAAGAUCUACCCCUAGUACGAGAGGACCGGGGCGGACGAACCUCUGGUGUAUCGAUUGUGGCCACCUGCCGCAUUGUCGAGUAGCUAUGUUCGGAAUAGAUAAGCGCUGAAAGCAUAUUAAGCGCGAAACUAACUUCAAGAUUAGAUUUCCCUAUGAGGACACAGAAAGACUAUCUGUUUGAUAGGCGCAAGGUAGAAGUGCAGCAAUGUAUGGAGCUGAAGCGUACUAAUAGUCCCAUCGCCUUUUUAUG